Arachis ipaensis is the source of this 2524-nucleotide non-coding RNA. The record is from RefSeq and is a predicted model, not a curated record. NCBI's taxonomy places the organism in Eukaryota, Viridiplantae, Streptophyta, Magnoliopsida, Fabales, Fabaceae.
CCAAAAAUAUCUCUACUCUCGGUGCCUCGCCAUUCUAUCUCCCACAAACUACUCUCAGUGCUUCAUUUCCUCUGAGAACCGCACACCGUUCUUCUUCUUCUUCUUCUCACAUCUCCAUCAUUCCUUCUUCUUCUUCUUCUUCUUCUUCUUCUUCUUCUUCUUCUUCUUUAUUUCAUCUUUUUUAUCGCUCAAAUCUCUUCCAAGUUUUCAUCUCAAUAUUAAUCGCAAUCUGAAUCCUUUUCUCGGACAAGCUAGUGCUAAUUUUGAUUGAAAUCUGAAUCCCGCUCUAGUCAUCAGCUACGAGUUCCUUAAUCUCCCUCUCAAUUCUGAUUCUUGUGCUCCCAAUUUGUGUUCUAUCGCAACCUGAUGCUUUUUCCCAAUUCUUUUUGGUUCAAUAUACAUUGCUGAAAUUCAAUUGUCACUGUUAUUCUGAAAUAUUUAUUUGAUAGGAUGAAUUAGGAUUAUUAGAAUACUAAAUUGAGCUUGGCAAUAUCUGGUUCCACUUUUAUGCUUCGAUCUUUAUAAAUAGGCAGAACAAUUAGACCAUUAAUUAACCCUGAACACCUCUGACACUUUGAUGCAUGCACAGAUCUGGAGCAGGGGUUUAGUGUUGGGAGUGGUGGUGUUUGCUCUUCAUAUUUGUCUCUGCAGACGAUGUUGUUGUGCUCACCGAAGAUAACUUUGAGAAGGAGGUUGGUCAGGACAGAGGAGCACUUGUUGAGUUCUACGCUCCUUGGUGUGGGCACUGUAAAAAGCUUGCCUCUAAAUAUGAAAAGCUCGGUUCUAGCUUUAAGAAAGCCAAAUUUAUUUUAAUUGGCAAGGGUUGUGGGUAGGAUGUUUGAGCAGUCAAGAUGUCAUUAGCAAUCUCUGCUAUAUCUAUAGGAUAGCAGGGAAACAAGAGAGCAUGAGGCUUACAGCAGGAUCAUGCUUAGUGCGCUUAGUUCGGUUUAACCCUCCUAGUAUUCAGUUGGUUGCGGAAAAAUUGUCAUUCAAGGACCUUGCUUCAUCCCUUGUCAAGGGUAGUCCAAGAGAGCAGCAAGUCAGCCUAAAUCUCCUUAACAUGGCAAUGCUUGGAAGUUACGUGUUGACAAAUAUUUGAAGAUACCUCAUACCUCUUGCAGAGGACAAAAAUUUGAUCCCAAGUCUUUUGUCUCUUGUUGAGCAGGGUAGUGAAAUUUUAAAAGGAAAGGCACUUUUCUUUGUGGCUCUAUUUUGUAAACAUGGUAGGAGGUGGCUUCCACACUUCUUAGCAGUUCAUUGUUUAAACACAAAGUGGUUACAAUUCACGUCCUACGGCAGCUGGCCAAUCUAAUUAAACUCAUUGAGACACCGUUUCAACGGCAAUGGUAAUGGCAACUACGAAGGUGGUAGUUUGUACAUUUUUGUGUUCAUACGAUACACUACGAAUGGAGGGCGUUGAAGGCUAUAACAGAAAUGAAUCGUAUGAGACUGAGAGGUAAAGUUGUGUUUGUCGGAGAAGCAAAAUACAAGAGAAUGUCGGAUAGAUGCAAAGGACACGAAGAAGACAGUUAGGAGGUGGCAACCGAAAUGAAAUGGUACAUUAACCGCAACAAGAACAAGCGAACGCCCAGAAAUCUUCAGCUAGCUGCUCUCAAUAUGGGAAAAAGGAUAAAAAAGACCAAGAUCCACAUGGGAAUGGGUGGACAAAGAAGUUGGAAGUGGUAGUGGUGAAAGAAAACUUAGACUGGCUGCAAAAAUAUCUAAUAGGUGGAACGACAACAGCUAAUAACUUUAAGUCCUUAAAGGAUAUAGUUGCGAAGAACUUGCCUCAAGUACGCGAAAUGGGAGCAUAUAAAGCUCUCUUGACUUUCAACAGACUGUUGAACGUUGAAAAGACAUACACGUUCAAAAUGAAUAGCCUACUACAGAUAUUUCAUAGUGUUUAGAGGUGGGACGAGUGGAAAAAAGUGAAUCUCGAAGAAUGUGUCUAAAGUGUUUUCGGAUUCCGUUACAUGCUUGGACAAUGGAUACUUUCAAGAUGAUGGGAGGUCAAUGAGGGGAGGUGGUUGGGUGUAAUAAAAUGACAAAAUCAUGUAUCUCAUCUAGUAUCAGACCUAUACUUAUUGAUACCUGUGUGGCUGUGCCAUGGAUGUGAUCGAUGAAUGGGUCCAUAUCACAAUAGGUACCAGUGGUUUCGACGUAUUGGUAAAAAAGGUGGGACGAGAACCAUAUGAUUUGCAAUGUGACCUGGAAAAUGUGGCGAAUGAUGCUGUAAGAUACAAUCAUUGUAAAGAUAAAAUAAUAAGGGAGUGUGAUGAUGUAGCUAUAAUGUCGAAAGGGCUAAGAAAUUUGAUAGAUUAUGGAUAUCAGGUAGCGAUAGUAAUUACGGAGGUGCUAUGGGAGGAGGUUGAAGAUGAAUAUAAAUUGGUAAAUUCAGAAUCAAUUUUGAAUGAGUGGAGUUAUGACCAUUCAAGGCUCCAUCAAAGAAAAUUGGUAAUGCAUCAAUCAAUUUAUGGUGAUAUUGAAGACUUAGCAUAUUUUGUGGGAUAUGAGGAGAUUAAUG